CUGGGCACACUCUAUUUUUGAGAGAUA
This 27-nucleotide non-coding RNA is filed under the name Mus musculus (house mouse). Lineage: Eukaryota; Metazoa; Chordata; Mammalia; Rodentia; Muridae. The record is from RNAcentral.